UAAAAGCCUAGGAAGUGCAACAAUAAUUCAUUGCGCCCAAACCACCGGACCAAAAUGCUUAAGCUCAAUUAUUAUUACUAACGUGUAGGCCUCAUAUAAACUGAUCGGAAUCAGUAUUCCAUCCGAUAUGGGAUUAUUGGGGACGUUACAAAUAUAUGUGGUAGGACUUUUUGUGCUCUCUUAAGCUAUUUUCAAUGAUAAAAUUUUUGAAUCAACGAUCAGUUUUGUUAGAUUUGAUCUAGUAUAUUUGAAAUAUCUAAUUAGUGAUUAAAGAAAUUCAAAAUCAACGUCUAAAA
RNAcentral lists this long non-coding RNA (296 nucleotides) under Ananas comosus (pineapple). Its description in RNAcentral is "long non-coding RNA (ACOM_LNC033723)". Lineage: Eukaryota; Viridiplantae; Streptophyta; Magnoliopsida; Poales; Bromeliaceae. The record is from RNAcentral.